RNAcentral lists this long non-coding RNA (978 nucleotides) under Numida meleagris (helmeted guineafowl). RNAcentral describes it as "lncRNA (ENSNMEG00000005309.1)". Lineage: Eukaryota; Metazoa; Chordata; Aves; Galliformes; Numididae. The record is from RNAcentral.
AAAAAAAUAUGGUUGUCAGCAGUGCACUGGCUGACUGAUGGCAGAAGAAUGUUUGACAAACAUGUUUGAAUAAUAAAUAGAGCAGGAAAUAGCAAGGACUGAGAUUUUCUAAAUAAUCUAGAGGCUUUAGUAAUAUGUUUUACCCAGAUCACAUACUUGUAUAAGUAGUAGUACAGUUUAGCACUGAAGACAUUUGAUUAUGUCAUACUCUGUUGUCAGUAAUACUGAGAAAAGGAUGGGUUAGCUGAAGAAACCAACUUAAGAGUAAAAAAGUUUCAGGUCAAAAUACUUGGACAGUAUCUGGAGAAACUGAAAAGAGCUAAUAAAUUUAACAGUCUUCUUCUUAGUCAUAACCAAGCAGUAAAAUCAAAAUAAUAAUCACGUGUAUGGCACUGCAUGACUCAGCCAACCAUAUUACUUGCACAUGGGAGUUUUAUUUUAUGAUAUGUCUAUCAGUUAGUUCUCCUCUUCAGUUGAUCACAAGCUCAUUUUUCUAUUUUGGAAUCCAAAUAUAUAUAUUUCUUUUAAAGUUAUUUUUCAUUUUAUGAAGUAGCUCAACUAAAGAUUGUUGGAUGUCAAGCUAUAUCCAAGAUAUAUAUAUCCUUGAUCUAUAGGGCACAAUCAAGAGGACAUCAACAUCAAGAAUCAUUUUUCUGCUUAAAAUGCGAAAACAAGUCUCCUGUGAGAUGCAGACAAGCCCAGAGGGGUCUACAGGUCAGCACGACACAAAGCCUGGAUCCCAUUGCAAGUAACAGCAACCAACAGACAAAACUACACCCCCUUUUUGCUCUGAUAUUUUUGCAGUUGGCUUCCUCUGAAAGGGUAAUUUUGUCUUGGCUGAUGUGGAGGUUCAGAAGCCCAGUCAGAUUUUUACACCUCCCUUUUUCCUUACUGAAGAGAAGGAGAAAUUUCAGAAACUCUGAUCUUUGAAGUGGUAAAGGUUAAAAUAAAUAAAUCACUACUUCAUUCUUUUAUGCA